Molecule: long non-coding RNA, 542 nt
Organism: Vigna unguiculata (cowpea)
Lineage: Eukaryota; Viridiplantae; Streptophyta; Magnoliopsida; Fabales; Fabaceae
Source: RefSeq, a predicted model, not a curated record
UUCAACAUAAUAAUUAAAAGUGAAAAGUGUAAGUCCCAUUUUUCCAGUUUUAUGCGUGUUGGGCCUGGCCUCUUCGUAGGUUCAAGACCAGCCCUUCCAGGGGGACCCAAUACCCCUUCCAACUCACUCAUUCCUCACUUUUCUGUUCCAGAGCUGCUCCUCUUCUUCAAACACUCUUGGCUGAAGCAAGAGUUCUGCUAGGGCAUAAGUUCAAUUCUUUUCCAGCUAGCUUCUCAGCUUAAUAUCCUCAGGUUGCUCCAGAAUCACGUUUACUCUUGCUUGGGUUACCUAUCCUUGUGCUAGUGUCUAAAAAGAUGGAAAGAGCACUGGAAGUGGAUCUGCUGGUGGUAGCGGUGCUGUGUAGCUUGGACUAGUUACCUGUAGCUCCUAAUAGUAGUCUUUAAGGCUUUAAUGCCCUCCUCUUUUGUGGUUUCUUGUUCUAGGAGCGAUCCUUUUGUAAGGCAAUUAACGUUCAGACUUUGCUUCGUCUUUGGCAUGGUUGUAUGUCUACGUUUCCUUUUAAGUACUCCUAUGGACAACUG